Molecule: transfer RNA, 489 nt
Filed under: uncultured cyanobacterium
Lineage: Bacteria; Bacillati; Cyanobacteriota
Description: partial contains 16S-23S ribosomal RNA intergenic spacer and 23S ribosomal RNA
Rfam family: tRNA (bases 88-160)
Source: RNAcentral
UUCCUGGGCCAUUAGCUCAGGUGGUUAGAGCGCACCCCUGAUAAGGGUGAGGUCCCUGGUUCAAGUCCAGGAUGGCCCAUCGGGAUUGGGGGUUUAGCUCAGCUGGUAGAGCGCCUGCUUUGCAAGCAGGAUGUCAGCGGUUCGAGUCCGCUAACCUCCAUUAGUCUUGAUAAUGGAACUGUGGCGCAGGGUGACUUAGAAGGAUGUUGGUGAUUCCAGCCUCGUUUGAUUCUUGAUUCAAGUUCAAACGAUGCUGGGCUCAGCAAUGGGUUCAGCAAGAACCUUGACAACUGCAUAGGUAAGUCUGGAAAUAAAGCAUCUCACAGAGAUGAUCCAGGCAUGAAGUGAUCCACGUUACGGCGUGAUUUGCUUGAUGUUUGGUUCAGCAAUUCUGGAGAAAAGCCGAGUCCUGAAUCAAUUUGAUCAGGAACAAAAUGGUCAAGCUACAAAGGGCUCACGGCGGAUACCUUGGCACACAGAGGCGAUGAA